GGGAUUGCCUCAGUAACGGCGAGUGAAGCGGCAAGAGCUCAAAUUUGAAAUCUGGUACUUUCAGUGCCCGAGUUGUAAUUUGAAGAUUGUACUCUGGAGUUGGCCCUUAUCUAUGUUCCUUGGAACAGGACGUCACAGAGGGUGAGAAUCCCGUGCGAUGGGGAGCCCGAUUCCAUGUAGAGUGCUCUCGAAGAGUCGAGUUGUUUGGGAAUGCAGCUCUAAGUGGGUGGUAAAUUCCAUCUAAAGCUAAAUAUUGGCGAGAGACCGAUAGCGAACAAGUACAGUGAUGGAAAGAUGAAAAGAACUUUGAAAAGAGAGUGAAAAAGUACGUGAAAUUGUUGAAAGGGAAGGUUAUUAGAUCAGACUUGGUGUUUGGCGAUAUUCAGUCUCUCGUAGACUGUUCACUCGCCCUUCACUGGGCCAGCAUCGGUUUGGGUGGCAGGAUAAUGGCUGUUGAACGUGGCUUCUCCGGAAGUGUUAUAGCUUCAGCUGAUACUGCCUACCUAGACCGAGGACUGCGGCUUCUGCCUAGGAUGCUGGCGUAAUGAUCUAAUAUCGCCCGUCUUGAAACA
RNAcentral lists this ribosomal RNA (572 nucleotides) under Waltiozyma pijperi. RNAcentral describes it as "eukaryotic LSU rRNA". It matches the Rfam family "Eukaryotic large subunit ribosomal RNA", at positions 71 to 661 of the family's 3401-position model. The record is from RNAcentral. Lineage: Eukaryota; Fungi; Ascomycota; Saccharomycetes; Phaffomycetales; Wickerhamomycetaceae.